GAGGGUAUAAGCUCAGUGUUAGAGCAUUCGACUGCAAAUCGAGAGGUUCCCGGUUCAGAUCCGGGUGUACUCU
Non-coding RNA from Trichonephila clavipes, 73 nucleotides. Lineage: Eukaryota; Metazoa; Arthropoda; Arachnida; Araneae; Nephilidae. The record is from the annotation of a GenBank genome assembly.